Molecule: ribosomal RNA, 443 nt
Filed under: Entamoeba histolytica
Lineage: Eukaryota; Evosea; Mastigamoebida; Endamoebidae
Description: SSU rRNA
Rfam family: Eukaryotic small subunit ribosomal RNA
Source: RNAcentral
AAGCAUUGUUUAUAGAUCUGAGUAUAUCAAUAUUACCUUGUUCAGAACUUAAAGAGAAAUCUUGAGUUUAUGGACUUCAGGGGGAGUAUGGUCACAAGGCUGAAACUUAAAGGAAUUGACGGAAGGGCACACCAGGAGUGGAGCCUGCGGCUUAAUUUGACUCAACACGGGAAAACUUACCAAGACCGAACAGUAGAAGGAAUGACAGAUUAAGAGUUCUUUCAUGAUUUAUUGGGUAGUGGUGCAUGGCCGUUCUUAGUUGGUGGAGUGAUUUGUCAGGUUAAUUCCGGUAACGAACGAGACUGAAACCUAUUAAUUAGUUUUCUGCCUAUAAGACAGAAAUGUUCGCAAGAACAGGUGCGUAAGUACCACUUCUUAAAGGGACACAUUUCAAUUGUCCUAUUUUAAUUGUAGUUAUCUAAUUUCGGUUAGACCUCUUAAAU